CCUACGGGAGGCAGCAGUGAGGAAUAUUGGUCAAUGGACGGGAGUCUGAACCAGCCAAGUAGCGUGCGGGAUGACUGCCCUAUGGGUUGUAAACUUCUUUUAUAUGGGAAUAAAAUGUUCCACGUGUGGAAUUUUGUAUGUACCGUAUGAAUAAGGAUCGGCUAACUCCGUGCCAGCAGCCGCGGUAAUACGGAGGAUCCGAGCGUUAUCCGGAUUUAUUGGGUUUAAAGGGAGCGUAGGUGGAUCGUUAAGUCAGUUGUAAAAGUUUGCGGCUCAACCGUACAAUUGCAGUUGAAACUGGAAGUCUUGAGUACAGUAGAGGCGGGCGGAAUUCGUGGUGUAGCGGUGAAAUGCUUAGAUAUCACGAAGAACCCCGAUUGCGAAGGCAGUUCACCGGAGUGCAACUGACACUGAGGCUCGAAAGUGUGGGUAUCAAACAGGAUUAGAUACCCGAGUAGUC
Molecule: ribosomal RNA, 460 nt
Filed under: uncultured bacterium
Lineage: Bacteria
Description: partial 16S ribosomal RNA
Rfam family: Bacterial small subunit ribosomal RNA
Source: RNAcentral